RNAcentral lists this ribosomal RNA (3118 nucleotides) under Berberis thunbergii. RNAcentral describes it as "eukaryotic LSU rRNA". It matches the Rfam family "Eukaryotic large subunit ribosomal RNA". The record is from RNAcentral. Lineage: Eukaryota; Viridiplantae; Streptophyta; Magnoliopsida; Ranunculales; Berberidaceae.
ACUCUUAGCAAUGUAUAUCUCGGCUCUCGCAUCGACUCUUGGUGUGAAUUGAAAAAUCCCGUGAACCAUCAAGGUUUUUAACGCAAGUUGUGCCCAAAGCCACUAGGCCAAGGGCACGUCUGCCUAGGCAUCAUGCACUAGUAGUGUUUUGUGCUCAACACAUGCAAUGUAUUUGUGUUGAGGAACGGGCAUGCUAUCUCUGGUCGGUGGACCUAAAGAUGGCAUCGAGUGACGAGCAUCUAGAUCGAUGGUGGUGAUACUGGCGAAAGACCGAUAAACAAGUACAACGAGGGAAAAAUGAAAAGGACUUUGAAAAAAAGAGUCAAAGAAUGCUUGAAAUUUUUAGGAGGGAAGCAGAUGGGGCUGCAGAAAUACCUAGGUCAGAUGCAAAAUUGUGUGAGGCGGUCCGUCGUUCUACUCUAGAAGUGGAUAGAUGCAGAUUAUGAUGGUUACCAAAGACCGAGCCGUUUACGUGAUUGUGGAUACAUCAUCAUCGUGAUUGUGCUGGGUAGAACACGCGUUCGGCAUGCCUAUGGAAACUGCACGCUUUCGAAGUCUUCGGGCUCCCAUUCGGAGCAUGUUGAAACAUGGACCAAGGAGUCUGACAUGUGUGCUACUCAACGGGAGAGUAUAAUGCACAAGGAAGUUGAUUGGUGGGUUCCCCUUAUGAAUUACACGUCAAAAGACCUAGACAUUUUGAGAAGGGUCAAGUUUGAGCAUACCUGUCGGGAGCUGAAAGAUGGUGAACUAUGCCUGAGCGGGAUGAAGCCCGAGGAAACUCUGUGGGGGCCGCAACAAUAUUGGCGUGCAAUUCGUUCAUUUGACUUGGGUAUAGGGGCGAAAGAUUAAUCGAACCAUCUAGUACCUAGUUCUCUCCGAAGCUUCCCUCGCGAUAGCUAGAACUCGAACGCGAGUUCUAUUGGGAAAGCCAAUGAUUAGAGGCAACGGGAGCGCAACGCCCUUGACUUAUUCUCAAACUUUAAAUUGGUAGGAUGGUGCGGCUACUUUGUUGAGCUGUACCAUGGAAUCAAGAGCUCGAAGUGGGCCAUUUUUGGUAAGCAGAAUUGGUGAUGCAGGAUCAAUUGGAAGUCGGGUUACGAUGCCCAACUACAUAUUACCCUAGAACCCACAAUGGGUUUUGGUUGAUUAAGACAACUGGACAGUGGUCAUGAAAGUCGAAAUCCGCUAAAGAGUGUGUAACAACUCACUUAUCGAAUCAACUUCCCAAAAAAUGGACGACACUUAAGCACGUGACCCCACCUGACUGUACGUUGGGGCAAUAGUCAAAGCCUGAUGAGUACGAGAGCGCGAUGGUAGCUGUAAAACCUAGGGUGUGAGCUUGAUCGGAGCUUCUGUCGGUGCAGAUAUUGGUGGUAGUAGCAAAUAUUCAAAUGAAAAGUUUGAAGGCCGAAGAGGGAAAAAGUUCCAUGUGAACGACACUUGCACAUGGGUUAGUUGAUCCUAAGAGUCGGGGUUACCCCAUCAAAGAGCGUGAACUUCAAAAGGGAACCGGGUUAAAAUUCCUAAAUCGGGAUGUGGCGGUUGACGACAACGUUAAGAAGUCUGGAGACGUCGGCGGGGGCCUUGGGAAGAGUUAUAUUUUCUUUUUAAUAGCUAGCCCACCCUAGAAACGACUCAGCUAAAGGUAGAGUUCAAUGGAUGGAAGUGCAUUGCACAUCGCAUGAUGUCCGGUGCGCCCUCAGCGGCCCUUGAAAAUCUGGAGGACCGAGUAUUGAUCGUGCCUGAUCGUACUAAUAACCACAUCAGGUCUCCAAGAUGGACAACCUCUAGUCGAUGGAACAAAAUAGACAAGGGAAGUUGGAAAAAUGGAUCCAUAACCUUGGGAAAAGGAUUGGUUCUAAGGACUGGGCUCAGAGUCCCUGUCCCGAGCCAGUUAUUGGUGGACUACUCAACUGCUUUCAUGGUGAGAUUAGGCCACAAUGUGCCAACAAGGGGAUGGACUAGGAAUGCUCCUUUCGGGGGCCUUCCCUAGGUGUUUAAUAGUUGACUCAGAACUGGUACGGACAAGGGGAAUCCGACUAUUUAGUUAAAACAAAGCAUUUAGAUGGUGCUUACGGUUGCUAACACAAUGUGAUUUCUGUUCAGUGUGUUGAAUAUCAAAGUGAAGAAAUUUUCCAAGCGCGCGUAAACGUGGGGAGUAACUAUGACUUUCUUAAGGUAGCCAAAUGCUUCAACAUCUAAUUAGUGACGUGCAUGAAUGGAUUAAUGAGAUUCCCAUUGUCCUUGUCUACUAUCUAGCAAAACUAUAGUCAAGCGAAUAGCCUUGGCAGAAUUAUCAGGGAAAUAACACCCCUGUUGAGCUUGACACCAGUCUGACUUUUAGAAAUGACUUGAGAGGCAUAGGAUAAGAAGGAGGUGUUUUCGUCAAAGUAAAUACAACAAAUUUUAAUAGUAUUUUACUUAUUUUGUGAGUCGGAAGCGGGGCACUGGCCCUCAUUUUGGAUCCAUGGGUCGAUUCAAUGGUCCGAUCCAGGCGGAAGACAUUGCCAGCUAGGGAGUUUGGCUCGGGUAGCACAUCUGUUAAAAGAUAACGCAGGUGUUCUAAGAUGAGCUCAACGAGAACUGAAAUCUUGUGUGGAACAAAAGGGUAAAAGUCAUUUGAUUUUGAUUUUCAGUACGAAUACGACUGUGAAAGCGUGGCUUUUCAAUCCUUUAGACCUUCAAAAUUUAAAGCUAGAUGUGUCAGGAAAGCUACCAUAGGGAUAACUGGUAGCAACCAAGCGUUUAUAGUGACAUUUUUUUUAUCCUUCGAUGUUAGGUUUUCCUAUCAUUGUGAAACAUAAUUCACCAAGUGUUGGAUUGUUCACACCCCAACAGGGAACGUGAGCUGGAUUUAAACUGUUGCGAGACAGGUUAGUUUUACCCUAUUGAUGAUAGUGUCACAAUAGUAAUUCAACCAAUAAUGAGAAGAACCGGUGAUUCACACAAUUGGUCAUCGCACUUGGUUGAAAAGCCAGUGGCGCGAAGCUACCAUGUGUAGGAUUAUGGCUGAAUGCCUCUAAGUCAGAAUCUAGGCUAGAGAAGAGGCGCAUACGCUUGUUGCCUAAUUACUAACCUGAGUAGUGACCUUUUGGUCUCAAAAGGCACGUGCCAUUGU